Long non-coding RNA from Oncorhynchus tshawytscha (Chinook salmon), 494 nucleotides. The record is from Ensembl. NCBI's taxonomy places the organism in Eukaryota, Metazoa, Chordata, Actinopteri, Salmoniformes, Salmonidae.
CUGACUGUCACUUCUCAGAUUUGUGCAGACUUCACAACGCAGAAUACCAAGUCACGACAGGAGAGAUGGAGAGAGACUGGGAGCAUGAGAGAAGCUGCAAGUCUAAAACGAAUGGGAGGACACCAGGAUAGUAAGGUUGACGGGGGUGGGCAUCUAUUACGUCAAAGGAAAGGGAGGACGUGCUGCACAGGAUUCCUCAUCAGUUGAUGUCAGCGUUUCGGCACAGGGGAGUGAUUUAAGAGGGCAUGGCGUUCUUGUCGUGCACCCACCCCUCCGAGGCUGUUCCAGUCUGCCAGUCCCGCUACGCUCUGCACUGCAAUUUCUUUCAAAGAUUUCACAGAAUACAAAGCUGGACUUAAUAUCGCUCUCAUAGCCGCUUGCUCCCAUGGAGAGCGCCUGAAAUGCAGCGAGGGUGAGGCGGGCCAGGCGGUGUACUGUAGCAGUGUGGACCUCCAAGGUUGUAGCAACAUACCUUCCCCAUGGUGGGUCCUGGG